RNAcentral lists this transfer RNA (91 nucleotides) under Erythrobacter sp. RNAcentral describes it as "tRNA-Ser". It matches the Rfam family "tRNA". Rfam says of the family: Transfer RNA (tRNA) molecules are approximately 80 nucleotides in length. Their secondary structure includes four short double-helical elements and three loops (D, anti-codon, and T loops). Lineage: Bacteria; Pseudomonadati; Pseudomonadota; Alphaproteobacteria; Sphingomonadales; Erythrobacteraceae. RNAcentral also lists the same sequence under 12 other names. The record is from RNAcentral.
GGAGCAGUGGCCGAGUGGUCGAAGGCGCACGCCUGGAAAGUGUGUAUACGGCAAAACCGUAUCGAGGGUUCGAAUCCCUCCUGCUCCGCCA